UACGCCAGCUCAUAGUGACUCAAUGUAGCUCGUAUAAUCUUUUCAUUACAUGGGAUUAGAGUGCGCGGUAAACAGUUGAUUGGGACUCACGGGGAAAACCAGGUAAUCGCCGCGCGCGGUUCCGUAGAAAAGGACCAGCGAACUUUGAUCUCUCUCCAAACCCGCCAACCCCCGCCGCUCUCGAACAUCUUUGAGACGAGCCGACAGAUGGACUGCUCUUUCCUCUGCAGCUAACAAAUGCAAAUAUUCGUUUUUGUUUCUGCACGUGGAACCAGAAGCCAGAUUUACUCUGCAGCCUUCUGCCCUGUCAGGUGUCAGCAUGUGUCUGCUUGCAGAAGGAAGGACUGCAUCCUGCCCGAGACUCGAGAUACUGUACUUCACCCCCCCUGUGUGACCUCCACCCGAGAGACUUCGAACGCCAGAGAACAACGCUCCAAGAACAUUGCUGCAGUUUUUUUUUUCCCGGGUGAUGAGGUUGAAGACUGUUGAAGUGUGUGCGUCAGCGCCCCCAUGUGGCUCUCGCCCAACACAGCAGAAUGUACCGCGAACACAAAUCUGUCACAAUAUUCUAAAAAUGAAUUAAUUGGGCGAGGUAUUUGCCGUCGCCUUUGUCAACCCCUCAGCCUUUCAGAACGCGGUGUUCAGGGGCUUACAAUAACAAAAACAACGCUUGAUGCGAUUCAGAAUAUUUGUUUAUAAUCAAAUUCCGUUCACGAUUCUAUUUGCGGACUUGGCCUUGGCUUUUUCCCCGGGUCUGCCAGGCCAUCAAUCAUCUGAUGCUCCCGAGUUCCCCCCUCUGAAAAAGGACGGCGCGUCGGUGACUGGGAACCGGCGAUAACGAUCUUUUCACCGUGAAGCUGACGGUCAUAAUCAACACUGCCUCCACUCCCGUUAGCUUCCCUGCCUACUGCGUAUCUGGCCAACCUUCACGAGCCGAGAUGAGUAAUGUGCCGAUAGACACAACGCGGCUGCUUCUUAAUUAAUUACGUCUUACCAAGCAUUUAUAGGCGGAGGCUAAUUGUUGUGGAAAAUAAUCGUAUUUUAUUUAAGUCUGAUUAUGUGCCUGGAUAAUCCAUGCUAAUUUGAAGUUCAUGUCCUAAUUAAGGAAGACUGA
Molecule: long non-coding RNA, 1114 nt
Organism: Conger conger (European conger)
Lineage: Eukaryota; Metazoa; Chordata; Actinopteri; Anguilliformes; Congridae
Exons: 4
Source: RefSeq, a predicted model, not a curated record